UAUUACUUGGAUUUUAAAUUCAGUAGAGAAAGACAUAGCUCUGAGCUUGAGACCUUGUAAUACUGCUAGUGCAAUUUGGAUCCAUUUACAAGUUAUAUUCUCAGCCAAAUUAUACUAGACUAUUUGAAAUAGAAUAUGAAAUUACUAAACUCAGUCAAGAUGAUAGGGACGUAUGGACAUUUUACUCUGAACUCUUAGAAUUAUGGAUUGAACUUGAUAUGGUUUCUGAGUCUUGUUGACAAAUCAGCUUAUACAGUUUAAAGAAAGAAAGAGACAGAAGUAGGGUGCUGCAAUUUCUUAUGAA
RNAcentral lists this unclassified non-coding RNA (304 nucleotides) under Hevea brasiliensis (rubber tree). The record is from RNAcentral. Lineage: Eukaryota; Viridiplantae; Streptophyta; Magnoliopsida; Malpighiales; Euphorbiaceae.